AUUGGAUCAUGGAUGCGCUAAUGGACAACACGGAUGACAAGGAAAGUGUAUGUUUUAUCUGGCGAAUAAGAAGGGAUGGCCAAUAUGAUUGGAUUCCUUAGGCUCAUUGUAGGAAGAAAAGAAAACAAACUACAGGAAUAUUUUCAUUGAGGUUAUCGCAAACUGCCAUCGUACAUGCUCUGGGUGUCUUGAGGAGCUUGUCUUUGGAGGAUGCUGAGCAGGUCUUUCUUUCUGGUAAAGAUUAUCAUUACAGUGAAGUAAAAUAAUUUAACAGACUGUUGACAAACAACUGACGAAAGAAGAGAGACCAUUCAAUAG
RNAcentral lists this long non-coding RNA (318 nucleotides) under Danio rerio (zebrafish). RNAcentral describes it as "si:ch211-217n8.3 (ENSDARG00000096955.3)". Lineage: Eukaryota; Metazoa; Chordata; Actinopteri; Cypriniformes; Danionidae. The record is from RNAcentral.